This 252-nucleotide long non-coding RNA is filed under the name Carica papaya (papaya). Its description in RNAcentral is "long non-coding RNA (CPAP_LNC014178)". The record is from RNAcentral. Lineage: Eukaryota; Viridiplantae; Streptophyta; Magnoliopsida; Brassicales; Caricaceae.
UAUGUAAUUAUCCCAAUCUACCUGUAGUAAACCCUGCUCCGUUUCUUCUAUAUGUUAGGUUUGAAAACCGGCAACUUCGAUCCCGAUUUCAGUCCUACUUUAUCUGUAAAUAACAGAGAAUGAGUAUAUAUAAUUCAGCACAAUAAAUUUAAAUCAUAAGUAUAGCAUGGAAACCCAAUUAAAAAUCUAUUCAUAUAUGUUUUCCCUUCCCAUUACCAUGGCCAUGCUUUCUUCCUACCCACCACCCCCACU